GAUGAAGAACGUAGCGAAAUGCGAUAAGUAAUGUGAAUUGCAGAAUUCAGUGAAUCAUCGAAUCUUUGAACGCACAUUGCGCCCGUCAGUAUUCUGGCGGGCAUGCCUGUUCGAGCGUCAUUACGCCCCUCAAGUCCCCUGUGGACUUGGUGUUGGGGAUCGGCGAGGCUGGUUUUCCAGCACAGCCGUCCCUUAAAUUAAUUGGCGGUCUCGCCGUGGCCCUCCUCUGCGCAGUAGUAAAACACUCGCAACAGGAGCCCGGCGCGGUCCACUGCCGUAAAACCCCCCAACUUUUUAUAGUUGACCUCGAAUCAGGUAGGACUACCCGCUGAACUUAAGCAUAUCAAUAAGCGGAAGGA
This 359-nucleotide unclassified non-coding RNA is filed under the name soil metagenome. RNAcentral's name for it is "partial contains 5.8S ribosomal RNA, internal transcribed spacer 2, and large subunit ribosomal RNA". The stretch from base 1 to 120 matches the Rfam family "5.8S ribosomal RNA", at positions 35 to 154 of the family's 154-position model. The record is from RNAcentral.